Molecule: ribosomal RNA, 390 nt
Filed under: uncultured bacterium
Lineage: Bacteria
Description: bacterial SSU rRNA
Rfam family: Bacterial small subunit ribosomal RNA
Source: RNAcentral
CCUUACCAGGGGUUGACAUCUCUCUGACCCCUCCAGAGAUGGGGUGUUCCCUUCGGGGACAGUAGACACAGGUGGUGCAUGGUUGUCGUCAGCUCGUGUCGUGAGAUGUUGGGUUAAGUCCCGCAACGAGCGCAACCCCUGUUUCUAGUUGCCAUCAUUAAGUUGGGCACUCUAUAGAGACUGCCGAUGACAAAUCGGAGGAAGGUGGGGAUGACGUCAAAUCAUCAUGCCCUUUAUGCCCUGGGCUACACACGUGCUACAAUGGUGGGUACAACGGGGAGCAAACCAGCGAGGGCAAGCAAAUCUCUAAAACCCGUUCCCAGUUCGGAUUGCAGGUGCAAUUCGCCCCAUGAAGUGGGAAUCGCUAGUAAUCGCGGCUCAGCAUGAUGU